AUUAUAUAAACCUAUGUGUAAUUAUAAUUAUAGAAUCUGUGUGUAUAUUCAUUAUAAUUAUGGAAUCUGUGUGUGUACAGUAUGUGUGUAUAUUCAUAAUAAUGAUUUAAACCAGUUUAUGUCAGGAUGCUUUGAACUUGUGUAUGUAUAGAUUAUAAUCCAGUUGUGUAUGUAUAGAUUAUAAACCUGUGUAUGUAUAUACAUUAUGUCAUUAACAUGAUUUAAACCUGUGCAUGUUAUUAUAAUUAUAUGACCUGUGCAUGUCAUUAUAAUUAUAUAACCUGUGCAUGUCAUUAUAAUUAUAUAACCUGUGUAUGUUGAUUAUAAUUAUAUAACCUGUGUAUGUCCAUUAUAAUUAUAUCACUUGUGUAUGUUCUUUAUAAUUAUAUAACCUGUGUAUGUCCAUUAUAAUUAUAUAACCUGUGUAUGUAUAUUAUAAUUAUAUAAACUUGUGUAUGUAUAUACACAGGGUUAUAAUGAUAUGAAGUAAUAACAUCAUUUAGUUUUGACAGGAUAUAAUACACAAUAUAAUUAUUAUAUUAUAGUUUUGUUUUGAAGAGUUAAACAUUGCUUAAUGUCUGUCAAGUUUCUGGAAAUGAUCUCCAAUUGAUAUUAAAUUACUCAGAUAAGAGCCCAGCUAUUAACCCUUUGGCUUCCUGAAACCACCUGUUUCACUGAAUGGGGGGGGGGGUAUAUUAUUGUUUUGUUUAGGAGAGUUGAUGAUUGUUUUCUUUCAUGUAUUGUUUGUGUUUAUCAUGUGUAGUUGAUCAGGUCCAAACCUUUCUUUCAUUUGGUUACGUUUUGAUGGGUGUUGUUCAGGACAUUGAAUACCAUCUGAUAUAUUUUCUUCUUUUUGAAUGUAGUCCAGAAAGGACCUAGUUUGUGUUGAGUAGAGUCAAACCCCAUCUUAUUUUGUAUAGCAAAAUAGGAUCAUUAAAUGAAAUGAAAUGGGGUUUAACGUCCUCCUGUUCUGCUCCAACUGGGCUAAGAAAGAUGGGCAUAUGCCAUACACGGUGCUAUGAGGGUAAUUUUGCCCGAACAGCAGCACUACAGCCUACUCUUAAAUAGAAUUCCAACUGUCAAGGGAUCUUUUACGUAUGUGCAUGCUAAUGUGUACACAGGACCUCGGUUUUUUGUCCCAUCCGAACGACUAGACAGCUGUCCUUGUCAGUCCCUCCAGGCUAGCGAGCCAGCACCUUACCCACCAUGACCCCAAAAUAGGUACAUAAUCAAAGAAAACUAUUUAUGGAUAAGAAUUGUAAUAAACCACAAUUAUUGUAGAAGCCACGGUAGCUCAGUCAGUAAGACUUUUGCUCGCUAAGAAUAGGCCGUAGUGCCACUGUAUGAUGUAUGCCCGUCUUCAUUAACCUAGUCACAUCAGAACACUAGGAUGUUAUUAAAUUUCAAUUCAUUUUUUUUUAUCUGAGUAUCAUCUGAUUACAUAAUCCUUGUUAAUUAUAGAUGCUAUUGUGCUUAAAAUCUGUAAAAAAAAAAUAAACAUUAUCUAUCGAUUUUGCUGAAGUUUAGUGUAAUGUCAUAUCUCCUCCCUCUUAAUAUUCCCUACAAACGUCUAGUCUCCACGGGAACGGGUAGAGGUGCGAAAGUACAAUAGCAUCUUAACCUACACUAAGGGUGACUGUUGUUUAUCUGUUCCGGGUUGGCGACCCCCAACACAUACCUAUGUUACUGAUAAAGUUGAGAGAAUACUCUUCAAAACGUUGACUAAAUAUAUAAGCUGUUUUCCAUAAGGCAUCAUUUAAAAAGAUAAAAACCAAAGUGGUUUAACUAAAAAGAAAUAAUUUAAUAUAACUAGAGUCAUAAAGAAUAAUACAAUUGGUGUAUGUAGUAAAUGUUGGACACCAUAAUUAUAUAUAUCAGAAAAAUCUGCUGUAAUCAUAUUAUGCUUGUCAUUAAUAAAAACAAAACAAUAUUUGUGUUUUACAUGGGGGUUACUAAUGUCCAAAAGAAAGUAUACACACUAAAAAUAUUAAGUUUUGUUUAAAUCAAAAAAAAAAUGUGAUAAAACUACACUGAACAUGUCUCGUGCUUCCAAACUCAAUAUUUCUAAGCAAAUAAAUAGCAAAACAAACCGCAUACAAUGGAAAAACGACUUUGUUUGAAGCAAGACGAAAUUUACAGUGUAUACUUUCUUUUGGACAUUAGUAUAUAUAUGAUUAUGGAAAAGAAGCAAUAAAAACCAGAAUAGAAUUAAAAUAAAAAAACAUUUUUUGACUUCCUUUGAGACAGUGGUUCCCAAGCUUUCGUUGGUUGCGACCCCAUUUCAGAAACCAUCAUCUGAUCACGGCCCUCUCGAAGAAAGGGUCACCUUUUACUAUCAAACAUCAUCAUUAUUUAUAGAUCAAAAUGUUAUAAUGAGAGACUGAGGAAAGAAAUUGUGGUUGUGAGAGAGGAAAGAUGAUUGACAAUGUGGCAAGAGGUUUAUUGAUCAGCGAUUUACAUGCUUUUCAUGAAAACAUAGCAUUUCUUCAAAAGUUUCAGAGAAGUCUGCCACGACAUCACGAAAAGUGCUCCUGGGGUCGCAAUCCAGAGGUUGGGAAUCCAGGCUCCAAGAUUUGACUGGUGAGAAAGCAAAAAAAUGAAGGAAUAUUACAAAAA
Molecule: long non-coding RNA, 2616 nt
Organism: Patella vulgata (common limpet)
Lineage: Eukaryota; Metazoa; Mollusca; Gastropoda; Patellidae
Exons: 2
Source: RefSeq, a predicted model, not a curated record